ACCUUUAAGAUCCAUGAGUACAGCCAUCUCCAUCUUAUAAAUGAAGAAACAAAGGCCCAGAGGGUUUCCCAAAGUCCCUCAACAGUUAGUUAGGGGCACAGUUUGGACAAAAUCCAAUCCAGAGAUCAUAAAAACAGUCCACUCCUUGGUCAAGGAGUGGGUCAAAUGGGAGGAUUCUCGAGGGCCUGGAGGGGGAUCCCUCUGACCAUUAGGGCCCGCCCUAGAUAGAGGCAGUGGAGGUACCUACUCUCCAUCUUUGAAAGGUACCUUCUAUCCCUGUCUAGCAUUGUCAGAACCUGCAAAGAGCCUCUUAUCUCCUCACCAUGGGAAAGCCCACUACAUAUGCCUAGUAAAGGGACUGAACAUGAAGGAAAUACCAAUACUGACCUGCUCUCCAAAGAAUGAGCUUCUGGAUUCCACCAGCUGGUUUUGGUGUCUCGCUUCCCCUGCAUUCCUAACUCUGCACCCUCAGCUCAGGUGCCCAUGGCCUCCGGAGGCAGCCGACUCAAGCCCCAGAGCAUUCCACUCAACUUGGAGGGAAUCCAACAGAACCAGCGUAUGUGGCUGGUGAAGGUACCAAAGUACCUAUCGCAGCAGUGGUCGGAAGCUUCUGGAAGCGGUGAAGUAGGGAAGCUGAAGAUUGCCACAAAUCAAGGGAAGUCGGAAAUCUCCUUUACUCUGAAUAAGGAACUUACAGACAUUCGGGGUACAAAUGGACAACCGGCCCCGGUCCACGCUCCCACGGAGCAUCAGUUUCUCUUGCGUUCAGACAGAGGGCAGGUCCUCACGGUGCUUACUGAGCAUGCGCCGGAUCAACUUUCCCUGCAAGGAACCGUGGUCCAUCGUGGCGAAUGCAGACCCGCUCCCAGUGAAAACUACAUGAGGCUAAAGAGGAUGCAAAUAGAGGGGGCUUCCAAACCUGCCAGGAUUGUACAGAAACUGGAGAAGGUGGUCACGACCAAUUAUAAACCUGUUGCCAAUCAUCAGUACAAUAUUGAAUAUGAGAAGAGAAAGAAAGAAACCGGAAAGAGAGUGAAGGCGGAUAAAGACCGAGUGUUAACCUUGCUAUUUGCUGCCUUUGAGAAACACCAGUAUUAUAACAUAAAGGACUUGGUUGGCAUCACUAUGCAACCUGUGGUGUACCUGAAGGAAAUCUUGAAUGAAAUCGGUGUUCGAAAUGUAAAAGGACCCCACAAAAACACUUGGGAGCUGAAGGCAGAGUACCGGUGUUACCAGAGAGAAGCCAAGAGAGAGUGAGACAGCCCUAUGUCACGAAGAUGCCAAUAGGAGCUUGAAGAUCUUCCAACACAAAAACUGAUGAGGCUCUAUUAGGGGGUAGGGCGGUUUAAUAUCUUUUUAAGUAUUCACAUUUAGAUUGUAAAACAGGGAAAUAAAAUAGGCUGUAAAUUGAGAAAAUAUUAUCUGAGGACUUCUCAUCUUUGCUGCAUCCACAGAGAGCUCAACUCAUCUAAGUCUAAAGAGACCUGGCAUCAGAAACUGGGCAGGGGUGGGCUGGGGAUGGGGCUAGGGGUGGAGGUGGGGGUUCUGCUGGGAGUGGGGAUGGAGGCAAGCAAAUUCAAUAUUCUAAAAUGACUGAAAAACAAAGUUGUUUCUGAAAUGUUUAAGAUAUGGUCCCUUCGUAUGUAGAAACAUGAAUGAAAAAAUAUUAAGGGUAAGAGGGUGAGAUCAUUAAAACUACUAAUUGACAGGUAGAGGAGGAUGGUGCUUGAUGGAGUGGAAACAGGUUGGAUUACAGGUCCUUUACUUACUUCAAGGAAGUUGCAUGUGGAUUGUAUUUUGUUUUUCUUAAUGGUAAUUUGGGGUUUUUUGUUUGUCUGGU
This is a non-coding RNA of Odocoileus virginianus texanus, 1840 nucleotides long. Lineage: Eukaryota; Metazoa; Chordata; Mammalia; Artiodactyla; Cervidae. The record is from RefSeq and is a predicted model, not a curated record.